UCCAUUUCAUCCCGGAUACAAAAAAGACCAACUGCGAAGGCGACAAUGUGCACCGACCACCGGAGCAAUCGCCCGGGCCGGGGUUUGCGAGGUGCUGCGGCGCAAGCGCAGCGCCCGCGUAUUUGCGCGACUGGGGUGACCGGCGGCGGCUGGGGAACCUGCGGUCGUUCGCGAGGCUGUCGCCUAUCGGUCCAUCGCCGGUGGUUCACCCGUGCCCGCCAACUGUUCGUUCUUUUGCCCAGAAGGAAGAUGACCUGAUAAGGCGAUAAACAAUGAAAAAGGGCACGCGCAAGCAUUUGCUGAUGAAUGUAGUACUGGGGACGGGGGAAGGUCCAAUGCCACCGAUCACGCAGACAGGAAAUACGACAGGAGCGAAGGACAUCCGAUCCAAAUUGGCCACGGCGGAGGGAGACGAGCCAUCAAAUCUGGGGCCGACCACCGGCGGAUCGAUCUCGAUGGGCAUCUCGGUGGCGGUGGAUGCCGCCAACCGCCUACUGACGUGCAUGCACCGCAGGCCCCUAGUCCUUGCGCCGUCUCUAUGCGUGUAACCACCAUGGCACCAUGGAUGAGGGGCCUAUCGACGCAGCACGCGUGCUAUCAUGCAUGUGAGUCAGUAGGCGGCCGGAAACUUACGAUUCGAUCGGCUGGUGUUGGUGUGUGUGGUGGUGAGCGUCUGCAGUCUGCUGCCCUGCCGCCGUUGGUCCUCGGAGGUAGAAGAUGGUGAAUCCUAACCCCGAAACUACGAUGAGUUUCUACCUUUUAUUGUAUUGUGUCUUUAUUAUUUCUGCAGGAAGGUGAUACCAAUAUGCCAUGUAUAGCAGCAACGUUGAUCCGAACGCAA
This is a long non-coding RNA of Lolium perenne, 841 nucleotides long. RefSeq lists it as uncharacterized. Lineage: Eukaryota; Viridiplantae; Streptophyta; Magnoliopsida; Poales; Poaceae. The record is from RefSeq and is a predicted model, not a curated record.